RNAcentral lists this ribosomal RNA (497 nucleotides) under uncultured bacterium. Its description in RNAcentral is "partial 16S ribosomal RNA". It matches the Rfam family "Bacterial small subunit ribosomal RNA", at positions 28 to 507 of the family's 1533-position model. The record is from RNAcentral.
GAUGAACGCUGGCGGCGUGCCUAAUACAUGCAAGUCGAGCGAACAGACGAGGAGCUUGCUCCUCUGACGUUAGCGGCGGACGGGUGAGUAACACGUGGAUAACCUACCUAUAAGACUGGGAUAACUUCGGGAAACCGGAGCUAAUACCGGAUAACAUGUUGAACCGCAUGGUUCAACAGUGAAAGACGGUCUUGCUGUCACUUAUAGAUGGAUCCGCGCCGCAUUAGCUAGUUGGUAAGGUAACGGCUUACCAAGGCAACGAUGCGUAGCCGACCUGAGGGGGUGGUCGGCCACACUGGAACUGAGACACGGUCCAGACUCCUACGGGAGGCAGCAGUAGGGAAUCUUCCGCAAUGGGCGAAAGCCUGACGGAGCAACGCCGCGUGAGUGAAGAAGGUCUUCGGAUCGUAAAACUCUGUUAUUAGGGAAGAACAAAUGUGUAAGUAACUAUGCACGUCUUGACGGUACCUAAUCAGAAAGCCACGGCUAACUACGUG